GAGUUUGAUCGUGGCUCAGAACGAACGCUGGCGGCAGGCUUAACACAUGCAAGUCGAGCGCCCCGCAAGGGGAGCGGCAGACGGGUGAGUAACACGUGGGAAUCUACCCAUCCCUGCGGAACAAACUCCGGGAAACGUGGAGCUAAUACCGCAUGCGCCCUACGGGGGAAAGGAUUUAUCGGGGAUGGAUGAGCCCGCGUUGGAUUAGCUAGUUGGUGGGGUAAAGGCCUACCAAGGCGACGAUCCAUAGCUGGUCUGAGAGGAUGAUCAGCCACAUUGGGAC
Molecule: ribosomal RNA, 283 nt
Filed under: uncultured Alphaproteobacteria bacterium
Lineage: Bacteria; Pseudomonadati; Pseudomonadota; Alphaproteobacteria
Description: partial 16S ribosomal RNA
Rfam family: Bacterial small subunit ribosomal RNA
Source: RNAcentral